ACGAACGCUGGCGGCGUGCUUCACACAUGCAAGUCGAACGGUGAAGCGCCUUCCUUUUUGGUGGGUGUGGAUGAGUGGCGAACGGGUGAGUAACACGUGAGUAACCUGCCCCCUUCUUCUGGAUAACCGCAUGAAAGUGUGGCUAAUACGGGAUAUUCUGGGUCUGUCGCAUGAUGGGUCUGGGAAAGAUAUUGUUUCGGUGGGGGAUGGGCUCGCGGCCUAUCAGCUUGUUGGUGGGGUGAUGGCCUACCAAGGCGGUGACGGGUAGCCGGCCUGAGAGGGUGGACGGUCACACUGGGACUGAGACACGGCCCAGACUCCUACGGGAGGCAGCAGUGGGGAAUAUUGCACAAUGGGCGCAAGCCUGAUGCAGCGACGCCGCGUGAGGGAUGGAGGCCUUCGGGUUGUGAACCUCUUUCGCCAGUGAAGCAGGCCUGCCUCGUUUGUGGGUGGGUUGACGGUAGCUGGAUAAGAAGCGCCGGCUAACUACGU
This 492-nucleotide ribosomal RNA is filed under the name uncultured bacterium. Its description in RNAcentral is "partial 16S ribosomal RNA". It matches the Rfam family "Bacterial small subunit ribosomal RNA", at positions 29 to 506 of the family's 1533-position model. The record is from RNAcentral.